RNAcentral lists this long non-coding RNA (2479 nucleotides) under Sus scrofa (pig). Its description in RNAcentral is "lncRNA (ENSSSCG00065034193.1)". The record is from RNAcentral. Lineage: Eukaryota; Metazoa; Chordata; Mammalia; Artiodactyla; Suidae.
GGGUUCUUCUCCUCAAGCUGGAAAAGUGCUUCUUCUAGACUCAGCUCUCACCAGCUCAAGCAACCGAGAAAGAGUCUUCCAGAGUUAUUUGGUGGUGAAACCUUCUUUCCCAGACAUCUGUCUGCAUGGGACUCCAUGUAGAAGAGGAGCUGUAUUGACUGCCUGGAAGCAAUGCCAUGGCUAGAUUCAGGUUUUAAUAUAAACUCCGUGGCUCCUGUGUGGAGCGGAUUCAGAAGGUAAGAAAUAUUUGUGCAUGUUGUCCAAGCACUGGUCAUGUUGCUGUGAACCAGACCUCUGGGAUGUCUGCCUCACUAGCCUUGGUAUAGGGAGUGCGUUAUUAAUCAUUUUAUCCCAGUGCCCAGCUCAGUCUGGCAGAUAGUAUGCACUCACCACCCUUUUUGAAAUGAAUGCAUGUUGUUUUCAGUCAUUGUGUUAGACACUGAGGUUGAAGAAGACAGAUGCAGUCUCUAUUCUCAUGCAGUGAGCAACCUGGCAAGCACAUAGUAGGCACUUUAUAUGUGUUUACGGAUUUACUGAAUGAUUAGCAUAAAUAAGACAAAAGGUAGCAAGGUGAAGAGGUGGGAAUCUAUUUUUUAUUUUAUUUUUUAAAUUAUUUUAUUUUUUUGGCUGUGACCAUGGCAUGUGGAAGUUCCUGGGCCAGGAGUUGAACCUGAGCUGCAGCAGUGACCUGAGCCAUAGCAGUGACAAUGCCAGAUUCUCGACUUCUAGGCCACCAGGAAACUUGGGAAUCUGUAUUUUAAACUCAUUCCUUGGCUAUUGCUGAUGUCCAGGGGCCAGCAUUUGAGAACUGCUGUGUGCCAAUCAGAGAUGAUGUUUCUUUGCUUGUCCCAAUGAGAUCAAGGCCCUGACCUUCUUACACUCACUAUUCCUGGUUCUUGUCACCUGGGACCUUUAAGUUCCUGGACUCACUGCCCUUGAGCAGUGUGUGUGCGUGUGUGAGCAGUGACGUGCCCUGAUUUCCUGAUCUUGAUUGGAUCCUCUGAUUUGAGCUUAGAGCAAUGCUGGUCUUUUAUAGCCCAAAUCCUGAGGGGAACCAUCUCUACUUGACAUUGAGAUGUUUGUUUCUGGUUUCCACUUCUCUGCACUCCCCCUAACACCCCGACUCCCUCAUGGCUGUAAUACUGCAUUCUUGGGUCUGUAUGAACGUCUCUUAAGAUCUGCUUGAGGACACCUACAAGGCAAAACACAUUUGUUUUAAUAUAAGUUGACAAUAAAGUUCUGUUUGAUGUUUGAUGGGAAAUGUUUUUAAAGAGAAGACUGCAUGGCCUUUUAAGAGAGGCUGUGAGACUUUCCUUACAGAAAGAGUUACCUGCAGAAAUCAAAGACAAAAGUCACUGCUUGACUAAUUUGUGGCAAGUGGAAUCAUUUUUCUUAAUUGGUUGGUCUGAAAGAGAAUAGUUGUGAUUGUCUUAACUGGUAGUUCUCAGAUUCCAACCUGUGGAUAAGGUUCACCAGAAUCACCUGAGAAGCUUAUGAAAGGGUCAUGCCCAAGCCUCACGUGAAAUCUUCUGAAUCAGGGUCUCUAACAGGUAAGGCACAGGAAGGUUUAUUUCCAAAAAACAUUCCCUGGAGGUUCUUGUAUACAGUUCAGACUGGUAAGUAUAGUGGAUGAUGGACCACUUCUCACCCUGGCACAGUCGCAUCCUCUCAUUAGGCCAGCUCUGACUCUGUCCCAACUUGAAGUCACAGCCCAGCGUCACCCAUCCCAAGACACAGGAUGUAGCCCCAAGACACUUUCUCAUCAAUUCUUGGAGCCUGCUUAUGCCAGCCAAGGCUGUUCGAUCCUGGCUAUCAAACACCAGUCUGUGAAACCCAGGGUGGUCUCCCAUUCGAGCUGAACCCCACCGUCUGUGAGUCUUCAGCAUGGACAUUUGUGGGCAAGGGAGAAAACCAAUUUUUCCUGCAGCUGUAUCAAGGGAUAUACGUGUCCCAUCAUUAGAGUUAGUAAUUUCCCUGAUGGUGCAAACAUCAUGUCAGCUCUCAUUCAAUUUAAUCAGGUUGGCUAUCGACUGGCUUUUCUUCCCCAUAGAGAAUAGGGGUAGAAGGGAGAUGCUGCCUAUUUCGGAUCGGGAAAAGACGAGGACUUUGAUUUAUUCAUUUUUAAACUUUAUUUCCAAAGCUUAAAUAAACUUUGCUGAAAUUUUCUCAUUUGCCUUCACGAGGAGUUCUUGAUAGUAAAACAAAGGAACUUGCCUUAAAUAGAGCCAAGAGGCUUGCAUAUCCCAGUCCAUGUCUUUAGAGAGUGAGGCUCAAGCUCAAAGUUCAGGGUGCGCAUACAUCACCCUGAUUACUGAACACUGGAUCAGUCUCUAAAUAAAGUCAUAGGUGGAGUUCUGUUGUGGCACAGCAAGUUAAGGAUCCGGUGUUGUCACUGCAUCGGCUCAGGUCACUACUGUGAUGCAGGUUCAGUCCCUGGUCUGGGAACUUCCCCAUGCUGCUGGUGCGACAAAGAAAGAAA